Molecule: ribosomal RNA, 579 nt
Filed under: uncultured bacterium
Lineage: Bacteria
Description: bacterial SSU rRNA
Rfam family: Bacterial small subunit ribosomal RNA
Source: RNAcentral
CCCGCACAAGCGGUGGAGCAUGUGGUUUAAUUCGAUGCAACGCGAAGAACCUUACCUACCCUUGACAUCCAGAGAAUCUGUUAGAGAUAAUUGAGUGCCUUCGGGAACUCUGAGACAGGUGCUGCAUGGCUGUCGUCAGCUCGUGUUGUGAAAUGUUGGGUUGAGUCCCGUAACGAGCGCAACCCUUAUCCUUAGUUGCCAGCACGUAAUGGUGGGAACUCUAGGGAGACUGCCGGUGAUAAACCGGAGGAAGGUGGGGACGACGUCAAGUCAUCAUGGCCCUUAUGGGUAGGGCUACACACGUGCUACAAUGGCCAGUACAGAGGGCUGCAAACUUGCGAGAGUAAGCAAAUCCCAGAAAGCUGGUCUUAGUCCGGAUUGGAGUCUGCAACUCGACUCCAUGGAGUUGGAAUCGCUAGUAAUCGCGAAUCAGAACGUCGCGGUGAAUACGUUCCCGGGCCUUGUACACACCGCCCGUCACACCAUGGGAGUGGGUUGCAAAAGAAGUGGGUAGACUAACCUUCGGGAGGUCGCUCACCACUUUGUGGUUCAUGACUGGGGUGAAGUCGUAACAAGGUA